RNAcentral lists this ribosomal RNA (472 nucleotides) under uncultured organism. RNAcentral's name for it is "partial 16S ribosomal RNA". It matches the Rfam family "Bacterial small subunit ribosomal RNA", at positions 333 to 797 of the family's 1533-position model. The record is from RNAcentral.
ACACUCCUGCGGGAGGCAGCAGUGGGGAAUUUUGGACAAUGGGGGCAACCCUGAUCCAGCAAUGCCGCGUGAGUGAAGAAGGCCUUCGGGUUGUAAAGCUCUUUUGUCAGGGAAGAAACGGUAGUAGCGAAUAACUAUUACUAAUGACGGUACCUGAAGAAUAAGCACCGGCUAACUACGUGCCAGCAGCCGCGGUAAUACGUAGGGUGCAAGCGUUAAUCGGAAUUACUGGGCGUAAAGCGUGCGCAGGCGGUUGUGUAAGUCAGAUGUGAAAUCCCCGGGCUCAACCUGGGAAUUGCAUUUGAGACUGCACGGCUAGAGUGUGUCAGAGGGGGGUAGAAUUCCACGUGUAGCAGUGAAAUGCGUAGAUAUGUGGAGGAAUACCGAUGGCGAAGGCAGCCCCCUGGGAUAACACUGACGCUCAUGCACGAAAGCGUGGGGAGCAAACAGGAUUAGAUACCCGUGUAGUCCC